AGACAUUGAACAGCUCAACUUUCAUGUAAAACAAAUUUCCGAGUAUUAUACGUAGCCCUGACCCAAGACCAUCAUUGGGAUCAGGUAAUCGGUGCAGUUAAAGUUCCUUAAUGUCUUAACGUUACAGGAGAAAAACGGGAACUAGAUGUCAGAUGGAAGGACAGACUGAUGAAGAUAGUUAUAGUAUAGUUAAUAACAUUUUUAGUUAACCUAGCUAGCUAAAUGCCCGUGAAUACUGGACUUCAUCACAAGAGGUGGCCAAAAAUAACGAAUGGCCAUGCUGCUCUGCUGGAUGUCGAACGCGCCGGUGAGGUGGGGGUUACUCCUCUCGCUGCCUCCGCUGCUCUUUGGCUGCGCUCCGGAGAGCAGCUGCAGCAGAGCGCCGGCAGAGAGGAGAGUCACGCAGUCUACGGGAGAGACUGCGCUCAAGUUGGCGACGACACCGAUGCUGAGGAGGACUUUACUCGUGUUUCUUGAUCGGCAUCUUUUAAACAGUUCAUUUUUAAGAAUGGCUUUUUCCGUGACAUCUCUCAGACCGAUGCUCUAACAGCGAAGUUAUUUGCAUAAAUACUGCGAGAAUGAACUUUAUUUAGAAAGUAUCCCUCCUGCAGGUAGCCUGAGGUCCAGUCCCACCAUUGUCAUCCAGCGGGAGUCUUUUUCUUGAGCUAGAGUUCAGUUUCACAACAGAUUAUAAUUCACCGCGCUCCGUUUUGCUCAAGG
Molecule: long non-coding RNA, 720 nt
Organism: Micropterus dolomieu (smallmouth bass)
Lineage: Eukaryota; Metazoa; Chordata; Actinopteri; Centrarchiformes; Centrarchidae
Exons: 4
Source: RefSeq, a predicted model, not a curated record